This 292-nucleotide ribosomal RNA is filed under the name uncultured bacterium. RNAcentral describes it as "partial 16S ribosomal RNA". It matches the Rfam family "Bacterial small subunit ribosomal RNA", at positions 505 to 796 of the family's 1533-position model. The record is from RNAcentral.
GUGCCAGCAGCCGCGGUAAGACGAACCGUGCGAACGUUGUUCGGAAUCACUGGGCUUAAAGGGCGCGUAGGCGGGCUGUCAAGUCUGGGGUGAAAUCCCACGGCUCAACCGUGGAACUGCCUCGGAUACUGACGGCCUCGAGGGGGGUAGGGGCGUGCGGAACUGUGGGUGGAGCGGUGAAAUGCGUUGAUAUCCACAGGAACUCCGGUGGCGAAGGCGGCACGCUGGACCUCAUCUGACGCUGAGGCGCGAAAGCCAGGGGAGCAAACGGGAUUAGAUACCCGGGUAGUCC